RNAcentral lists this ribosomal RNA (505 nucleotides) under uncultured bacterium. Its description in RNAcentral is "bacterial SSU rRNA". It matches the Rfam family "Bacterial small subunit ribosomal RNA", at positions 30 to 518 of the family's 1533-position model. The record is from RNAcentral.
AUUGAACGCUGGCGGCGUGCUUAACACGAUGCAAGUCGAACGCGAAGGGACUCGGUCCUGAGUAAAGUGGCGCACGGGUGAGUAACGCGUGGAUAAUCUGCCCUUAUGAUCGGGAUAACAGUUGGAAACGGCUGCUAAUACCGGAUACGCUCAAAAUGAACUUUUUGAGGAAAGAUGGCCUCUGCUUGCAUGCUAUCACGUAAGGAUGAGUCCGCGUCCCAUUAGCUUGUUGGCGGGGUAACGGCCACCAAGGCAACGAUGGGUAGCCGAUUUGAGAGGAUGAUCGGCCACACUGGAACUGAAACACGGUCCAGACUCCUACGGGAGGCAGCAGUGGGGAAUAUUGCGCAAUGGGCGAAAGCCUGACGCAGCGACGCCGCGUGAGGGAUGAAGGUUUUCGGAUCGUAAACCUCUGUCAGAAGGGAAGAAACUACGUUGUGCUAAUCAGCAGCGUACUGACGGUACCUUCAAAGGAAGCACCGGCUAACUCCGUGCCAGCCGCUGC